This 301-nucleotide ribosomal RNA is filed under the name uncultured bacterium. Its description in RNAcentral is "partial 16S ribosomal RNA". It matches the Rfam family "Bacterial small subunit ribosomal RNA", at positions 509 to 807 of the family's 1533-position model. The record is from RNAcentral.
CAGCCGCCGCGGUAAUACGAAGGGUGCAAGCGUUACUCGGAAUUACUGGGCGUAAAGCGUGUGUAGGUGGUUGUUUAAGUCUGUCGUGAAAGCCCUGGGCUCAACCUGGGAACUGCAUCUUAUACUGGGUAACUGGAGUGCAGUAGAGGGUAGUGGAAUUUCCGGUGUAGCGGUGAAAUGCGUAGAUAUCGGAAGGAACACCAGUGGCGAAGGCGGCUACCUGGACUGAGACUGACACUGAGGCGCGAGAGCGUGGGGAGCAAACAGGAUUAGAUACCCCUGUAGUCCCUGUCUCUUAUAC